UACAGAGGGGGCAAGCGUUAUUCGGAAUUAUUGGGCGUAAAGGGCGCGUAGGCGGCCAUUCAAGUGACGGGUGAAAGCCCUCGGCUUAACCGAGGAACUGCCUGUCAGACUGGAUGGCUUGAGACCGGGAGAGGUGAGUGGAAUUCCCAGUGUAGCGGUGAAAUGCGUAGAUAUUGGGAGGAACACCAGUGGCGAAGGCGGCUCACUGGCCCGGUACUGACGCUGAGGCGCGAAAGCGUGGGGAGCAAACAGG
Molecule: ribosomal RNA, 253 nt
Filed under: uncultured bacterium
Lineage: Bacteria
Description: partial 16S ribosomal RNA
Rfam family: Bacterial small subunit ribosomal RNA
Source: RNAcentral